GUUUCCCCCUCAUCCUCCACCCCCGCCGUUGUUCCAGCUAGGAGUCGUCUACUCUGAAGCUCGGCCUCGCUGACUUUCGCCUGGGACGCAAUGCACGACUUGAUGUAGCGCCGAGGCCAAGCUGAGCCCACCCGUAACCUUCCAGCAGAUGAUUGCCAGCCAAGCUCGACUUCUUUUGGGUCUGCACUGUUUGGUGUCUGCAUCCUGCUGCUGCUUCAUCGGCAGGCAUGUUAAAAAAUGAAAAGAGUUUCUUCUUCGCAAGCACAUUGAACAUUCAAAAAACAUAUCAAACCAUGAUGAAAGGGAAGAGCGAGCUGAUGAACAUUUUUUUAGUCAUCUCUUGCCUUGUCAAUAAAACACUUUGAAAUUUUUCCUAGGCUGUGAAGUGGCCUUCUUGUUCGGAAGAAAAAGUGUUUGAAAAGU
Hippocampus comes (tiger tail seahorse) is the source of this 423-nucleotide long non-coding RNA. RefSeq lists it as uncharacterized. Lineage: Eukaryota; Metazoa; Chordata; Actinopteri; Syngnathiformes; Syngnathidae. The transcript has 6 exons. The record is from RefSeq and is a predicted model, not a curated record.